GUGCUCUCUUUAUACAAAGUACGCUCAGAUCAGAGACAACUUUAUGCAGCUUACUGGCCAAGACGCUGGGAGAGCCAUUAUUUUAUCACGAAAACGAAGGGUGAAUGCUUCACAAACCUAUCGUUAAUUGGCUUCAGCUCUCACACCUCCUCACUCGAUCUUUCACAACAUCUCUCUCAGUUUCGUACUCCACGUUUUUAUUCAUGGUAUUUCAACACAACAGUCAGAGUGCAACUUCGACCAACAAAAUGCUGAAAAAAGACAGUAGAUCUAGACCCUAAAUGCAUCAUACAGUCAAGCUUGCGUGAAGCAAGAUGACCAUAGAACAGAAAGUCAAAGAAAAAUGGAGGAGGAUUCUUUUGAGGAUUCUCCAGCAGAAAUGGAGGAUACAGAUAAACAUCUGAUUCGAAAUGAAGUCUGGAGCUUGCCAAUCACCUGACGAGCCAAAUGAUAUUUCCAAUCAUGAUGAAGGUUACCAAGAGAAGGAUGGCUGUAAUAAGACAUUCUUUUACAGGGGUCAUCUCUCCCGACAUGCAAGGACUACCCACCUUGGCCAGAAACCUUAUGACUGCCGAUAUAUGAUAUGGUUUCCCCGAGCAAAGCCAUCUUGAAAACCAUGUGAUCGUCCUCACAUGAGAAAAGUCAGACCCAUGUCUGCACUUCAUGAGAAGAUUUUACUAAGGAUUCGAAAUGAAGUCUGGAGCUUGCCAAUCACCUGACGAGCCAAAUGAUAUUUCCAAUCAUGAUGAAGGUUACCAAGAGAAGGAUGGCUGUAAUAAGACAUUCUUUUACAGGAGUCAUCUCUCCCGACAUGCCAGGACUGACUACCCACGUUGGCCAGAAACCUUAUGACUGCCGAUAUAUGACAAGGUUUCCCGAGCAGAGCCAUCUUGAAAACCAUGUGAUCGUCCUCACAUGAGAAAAGUCAGACCCAUGUCUGCACUUCAUGAGAAGAUUUUACUAAGGAUUCGAAAUGAAGUCUGGAGCUUGCCAAUCACCUGACGAGCCAAAUGAUAUUUCCAAUCAUGAUGAAGGUUACCAAGAGAAGGAUGGCUGUAAUAAGACAUUCUUUUACAGGAGUCAUCUCUCCCGACAUGCCAGGACUGACUACCCACGUUGGCCAGAAACCUUAUGACUGCCGAUAUAUGACAAGGUUUCCCGAGCAGAGCCAUCUUGAAAACCAUGUGAUCGUCCUCACAUGAGAAAAGUCAGACCCAUGUCUGCACUUCAUGAGAAGAUUUUACUAAGGAUGUGAAAUGAAGUCUGGAGCUUGCCAAUCACCUGACGAGCCAAAUGAUAUUUCCAAUCAUGAUGAAGGUUACCAAGAGAAGGAUGGCUGUAAUAAGACAUUCUUUUACAGGGGUCAUCUCUCCCGACAUGCCAGGACUGACUACCCACGUUGGCCAGAAACCUUAUGACUGCCGAUAUAUGACAAGGUUUCCCGAGCAGAGCCAUCUUGAAAACCAUGUGAUCGUCCUCGCAUGAGAAAAGUCAGACCCAUGUCUGCACUUCAUGAGAAGAUUUUACUAAGGAUUCGAAAUGAAGUCUGGAGCUUGCCAAUCACCUGACGAGCCAAAUGAUAUUUCCAAUCAUGAUGAAGGUUACCAAGAGAAGGAUGGCUGUAAUAAGACAUUCUUUUACAGGGGUCAUCUCUCCCCACAUGCCAGGACUGACUACCCACGUUGGCCAGAAAACUUAUGACUGCCGAUAUAUGACAAGGUUUCCCGAGCAGAGCCAUCUUGAAAACCAUGUGAUCGUCCUCGCAUGAGAAAAGUCAGACCCAUGUCUGCACUUCAUGAGAAGAUUUUACUAAGGAUUCGAAAUGAAGUCUGGAGCUUGCCAAUCACCUGACGAGCCAAAUGAUAUUUCCAAUCAUGAUGAAGGUUACCAAGAGAAGGAUGGCUGUAAUAAGACAUUCUUUUACAGGAGUCAUCUCUCCAGACAUGCCAGGACUGACUACCCACGUUGGCCAGAAACCUUAUGACUGCCGAUAUAUGACAAGGUUUCCCGAGCAGAGCCAUCUUGAAAACCAUGUGAUCUUCCUCACAUGAGAAAAGUCAGACCCAUGUCUGCACUUCAUGAGAAGAUUUUACUAAGGGUAAGAUUUUACUAAGGGUAAGAUUUUACUAGGGGUAAGAUUUUACUAAGGGUAAGAUUUUACUAAGGGUAAGAUUUUACUAAGUGUAAGAUUUUACUAAGGGUAAGAUUUUACUAAGGGUAAGAUUUUACUAAGGGUUGGUCAUGUCAGAAGCCACACAGAGUGUUUUUCGUUAUAACAAGACAUUUUCAAAGAAUAGUGGCCUCACUUAGCACAUGAUGAACUAAGCAUACAGAAGAGAAGCUAUACAGUGCCAGUCGAGUGGUUUAAGGCGCUUGACUGUAGAUGCGAAUGUCGAGGGUUCAAAUCCCGACAUGGCACUAAUAUCCUUUGGCAAGAUAUUUACCUG
Molecule: long non-coding RNA, 2447 nt
Filed under: Strongylocentrotus purpuratus (purple sea urchin)
Lineage: Eukaryota; Metazoa; Echinodermata; Echinoidea; Camarodonta; Strongylocentrotidae
Description: uncharacterized LOC105440780
Source: RNAcentral